GACGAACGCUGGCGGCGUGCCUAAUACAUGCAAGUAGAACGCUGAAGGAGGAGCUUGCUUCUCUGGAUGAGUUGCGAACGGGUGAGUAACGCGUAGGUAACCUGCCUGGUAGCGGGGGAUAACUAUUGGAAACGAUAGCUAAUACCGCAUAACAGUAGAUGUUGCAUGACAUUUGCUUAAAAGGUGCAAUUGCAUCACUACCAGAUGGACCUGCGUUGUAUUAGCUAGUUGGUGGGGUAACGGCUCACCAAGGCGACGAUACAUAGCCGACCUGAGAGGGUGAUCGGCCACACUGGGGCUGAGACACGGCCCAGACUCCUACGGGAGGCAGCAGUAGGGAAUCUUCGGCAAUGGACGGAAGUCUGACCGAGCAACGCCGCGUGAGUGAAGAAGGUUUUCGGAUCGUAAAGCUCUGUUGUAAGAGAAGAACGAGUGUGAGAGUGGAAAGUUCACACUGUGACGGUAUCUUACCAGAAAGGGACGGCUAACUACGUGCCAGCAGCCGCGGUAAUACGUAGGUCCCGAGCGUUGUCCGGAUUUAUUGGGCGUAAGCGAGCGCAGGCGGUUAGAUAAGUCUGAAGUUAAGGCUGUGGCUUAACCAUAGUACGCUUUGGAAACUGUUUAAUUUGAGUGCAAGAGGGGAGAGUGGAAUUCCAUGUGUAGCGGUGAAAUGCGUAGAUAUAUGGAGGAACACCGGUGGCGAAAGCGGCUCUCUGGCUUGUAACUGACGCUGAGGCUCGAAAGCGUGGGGAGCAAACAGGAUUAGAUACCCUGGUAGUCCACGCCGUAAACGAUGAGUGCUAGGUGUUAGACCCUUUCCGGGGUUUAGUGCCGUAGCUAACGCAUUAAGCACUCCGCCUGGGGAGUACGACCGCAAGGUUGAAACUCAAAGGAAUUGACGGGGGCCCGCACAAGCGGUGGAGCAUGUGGUUUAAUUCGAAGCAACGCGAAGAACCUUACCAGGUCUUGACAUCCCUCUGACCGCUCUAGAGAUAGAGUUUUCCUUCGGGACAGAGGUGACAGGUGGUGCAUGGUUGUCGUCAGCUCGUGUCGUGAGAUGUUGGGUUAAGUCCCGCAACGAGCGCGACCCCUAUUGUUAGUUGCCAUCAUUCAGUUGGGCACUCUAGCGAGACUGCCGGUAAUAAACCGGAGGAAGGUGGGGAUGACGUCAAAUCAUCAUGCCCCUUAUGACCUGGGCUACACACGUGCUACAAUGGCUGGUACAACGAGUCGCAAGCCGGUGACGGCAAGCUAAUCUCUUAAAGCCAGUCUCAGUUCGGAUUGUAGGCUGCAACUCGCCUACAUGAAGUCGGAAUCGCUAGUAAUCGCGGAUCAGCACGCCGCGGUGAAUACGUUCCCGGGCCU
This 1365-nucleotide ribosomal RNA is filed under the name uncultured bacterium. RNAcentral describes it as "bacterial SSU rRNA". It matches the Rfam family "Bacterial small subunit ribosomal RNA", at positions 28 to 1381 of the family's 1533-position model. The record is from RNAcentral.